UACGUAGGGGGCAAGCGUUGUCCGGAUUUAUUGGGCGUAAAGCGCGUGUAGGCGGCUAGGUAGGUCCGUUGUGAAAACUCGAGGCUCAACCUCGAGACGCCGAUGGAAACCAUCUAGCUAGAGUCCGGAAGAGGAGAGUGGAAUUCCUGGUGUAGCGGUGAAAUGCGCAGAUAUCAGGAAGAACACCCGUGGCUAAGGCGGCUCUCUAGUACGGUACUGACGCUGAGACGCGAAAGCGUGGGGAGCAAACAGG
This 253-nucleotide ribosomal RNA is filed under the name uncultured bacterium. Its description in RNAcentral is "partial 16S ribosomal RNA". It matches the Rfam family "Bacterial small subunit ribosomal RNA", at positions 524 to 776 of the family's 1533-position model. The record is from RNAcentral.